CCUGAAAAAUAAGCAUAGGGGGUCCUGCCUGCCCAGUGACUGAAAAGUUAAACGGCCGCGGUAUCUUGACCGUGCGAAGGUAGCAUAAUCAUUUGUCUCCUAAAUAGAGACUGGUAUGAAUGGCAAGACGGAGCUUCACUGUCUCCUCCUCUUUGAUCUGAACUUCACAUUCCCGUGAAGAGGCGAGAAUUAGUUCGUAAGACGAGAAGACCCUGUCGAGCUGUAGCUAAAUUUUAAUUGUUGUUUACUAUUAGCCCUAACUAAUUAUAAUAAGGGUAGCAGGCCUAAAGCAUAACAAAUUAAAACAAGCUUUGAUUGGGGCAAUCCCGGAGAAAGAAAAUCCUCCGCUACUAUAUGGUUAUAUUAACCUAAAAUAAAAGAAUUAUUUUUCUUAAAUCAUAAAAAUGAAGGUAUGAUCCACUUACAGUGAUCAAAAGAACAAG
Molecule: ribosomal RNA, 443 nt
Filed under: Echinocardium cordatum (sea potato)
Lineage: Eukaryota; Metazoa; Echinodermata; Echinoidea; Spatangoida; Loveniidae
Description: partial 16S ribosomal RNA
Rfam family: Bacterial large subunit ribosomal RNA
Source: RNAcentral